GCCGCGGUAGUUUAAAUAAAAACAUUAGCCUGUGGUGCUAAAAAUGGAACCAUUCUUCCCCGCAGCU
RNAcentral lists this transfer RNA (67 nucleotides) under Trioceros schubotzi. Its description in RNAcentral is "tRNA-His". It matches the Rfam family "tRNA". Rfam says of the family: Transfer RNA (tRNA) molecules are approximately 80 nucleotides in length. Their secondary structure includes four short double-helical elements and three loops (D, anti-codon, and T loops). The record is from RNAcentral. Lineage: Eukaryota; Metazoa; Chordata; Lepidosauria; Squamata; Chamaeleonidae.